Long non-coding RNA from Scatophagus argus, 725 nucleotides. RefSeq lists it as uncharacterized. The transcript is spliced from 3 exons. Lineage: Eukaryota; Metazoa; Chordata; Actinopteri; Scatophagidae. The record is from RefSeq and is a predicted model, not a curated record.
UGUCUUGUGCCAGUGUGUUUCGUCUGUGCAUGCUCACUUCAGCCUUGUUCUUGCCACAGCCUUGAUUUUUGCCUUGGGCUUCUUUCCUUUCUUUUGCCUCUGCACCUGAGUGAUUUUGUGCUGAUCCAUCCAUCCAUUUUCUAUGCCGGCCUUGUCCCUGCAGGAUCACCAGGGGGCUGGAGCUGACAACAGGUUUUCUAAUACACAGCUGGCUGUCUGUUGACCUUCUUCACACUCUCCUGUUUGUAGUGUUUCCAGCUUGCUCUCUUUGUAGAUAUUUAUCAACGUGUCUCACUUUGCUGACAUGAGUUAAUGUGUUAUUUUAAGUCAGAUUAGGCUUGCAGGGCCUGAUAACACAGUAAAUUGCCCUUGUCUUAAUGAGCCAGUUAUGCAUUAUAUUGUCAUGAACAAUCUAUUAUGGAGAAAUCUCAGUAUCUUCAUUAGUGUGUUGUGCUUUGUCUAGCAUUAUUCACUCUGAACAUGCAGACAGUAAUCUGUUGAUGUGAUGCAGGCACUUUCUUUUACCCAAUUUCUGUACUCGGUUCUAUGUUCAUGUAUCAUCAUAAAGUCAUUCAUGCAGCUAUACCAAGUGGCUUUACUGAUAUUAUGAGAUUUAAAAUGCAGAUGUAAAAUUGAAUUUGUCGUUACACUUGAAAAGCAUGAUGGGGUCCAGUACAGGUUAUGACUAAAUGAACAGUUUCACAAUCAAAAUUGACCUCUUCCCU